CUGGAACAUUAAAUCAAUUCAGCAACAUGUUUGAAAAGUUCUACUAGCACUAUUUUUUUAACAUGAAUUCAUGUAAUUCAAAUCUUAAGUGAUUGGUUUUCACUGGGGGGAGAGAGGCAUGGUAGAGAAAAAAGAUAAUAACUAAUCCCUUCAACCUCAAUGGGGUAGGUACCAUGCUUGAAGGACAUAAGUAAAGUAGUUAUUGAAGGUUAUGAAAACCUUUUUAAACAGAAAAAACUCCGGCGUGCAAACUGCUCCAAAAUUUCGAGCAACUUCUUGUGACUGCAAUUAAUCAAGUUCAACUAGUUAAAGGACUUCUGCAAAUUUCAGAAGAAAAUAAGUUUUAUAACAAAAAGUAAUCAUGCCCUUCCGGCAAUGAGGACACAAAUCAGAUACCAGAUUGAUAUAAUGAAUCUAAUAUGCCCUUCUCAAUUUUGAUUUACCUUUUAGAAAAACAUUAGAAUAGUAAUAAAUAGAUUGGGAGAUAAAAUUUUUUAGGAGUAAGGAUCAGGAUCACUAGUGUACCUCAUCAUAUAGAUAAGGAAAUGGGUAAUUAAAUAUUUUAGCCUCUUCUGCCAUGAAUUCUGGCCCAUCCUGCAAAGGCAGUUCCAUCUUGAACAAAUGAUACAUAGCUUCAAUACAGCUCUAGUCUAAUGUCAAACAAUGCAGUUAUUAAAACCUGCGGGUGAGUAGCCACAGAAUUUGAAGAUAUGGCAACAACUGCAAGUCCUUUCUGCAAUGCGAUACAAUAAAAUUUAGAUACACUGAUGCCAUAGAGAUUUGCU
Molecule: unclassified non-coding RNA, 785 nt
Filed under: Hevea brasiliensis (rubber tree)
Lineage: Eukaryota; Viridiplantae; Streptophyta; Magnoliopsida; Malpighiales; Euphorbiaceae
Source: RNAcentral